AUACGGAGGAUCCGAGCGUUAUCCGGAUUUAUUGGGUUUAAAGGGUGCGCAGGCGGCCAUUUAAGUCAGCGGUUAAAUCGUGGGGCUCAACCCCAUUCUGCCGUUGAUACUGGGUGGCUUGAUUGCGGUCGAGGUUGGCGGAAUUCGUUGUGUAGCGGUGAAAUGCAUAGAUAUGACGAAGAACACCGAUUGCGUAGGCAGCUGACCAGACCGCAAAUGACGCUCAUGCACGAAAGUGCGGGGAUCGAACAGGAUUAGAUACCCUGGUAGUCCGCACAGUAAACGAUGAAUACUUGUUUUCGGCGAUAUAAUGUUGGAGGCAAAGCGAAAGCGAUAAGUAUUCCACCUGGGGAGUACGCCGGCAACGGUGAAACUCAAAGGAAUUGACGGGG
Molecule: ribosomal RNA, 392 nt
Filed under: uncultured bacterium
Lineage: Bacteria
Description: partial 16S ribosomal RNA
Rfam family: Bacterial small subunit ribosomal RNA
Source: RNAcentral